ACGCUGACAGAAUGCCUAACACAUGCAAGUCAACUUGAAUUUGGGUUUUUAACUUAGAUUUGGGUGGCGGACGGGUGAGUAACGCGUAAAGAACUUGCCUCACAGCUAGGGACAACAUUUAGAAAUGAAUGCUAAUACCUGAUAUUAUGAUUUUAAGGCAUCUUAGAAUUAUGAAAGCUAUAAGCACUGUGAGAGAGCUUUGCGUCCCAUUAGCUAGUUGGAGAGGUAACAGCUCACCAAGGCGAUGAUGGGUAGCCGGCCUGAGAGGGUGAACGGCCACAAGGGGACUGAGACACGGCCCUUACUCCUACGGGAGGCAGCAGUGGGGAAUAUUGGACAAUGGACCGAGAGUCUGAUCCAGCAAUUCUGUGUGCACGAUGAAGUUUUUCGGAAUGUAAAGUGCUUUCAGUUGGGAAGAAACAAAUGACGGUACCAACAGAAGAAGUGACGGCUAAAUACGUGCCAGCAGCCGCGGUAAUACGUAUGUCACGAGCGUUAUCCGGAUUUAUUGGGCGUAAAGCGCGUCUAGGUGGUUAUGUAAGUCUGAUGUGAAAAUGCAGGGCUCAACUCUGUAUUGCGUUGGAAACUGUAUAACUAGAGUACUGGAGAGGUAAGCGGAACUACAAGUGUAGAGGUGAAAUUCGUAGAUAUUUGUAGGAAUGCCGAUGGGGAAGCCAGCUUACUGGACAGAUACUGACGCUAAAGCGCGAAAGCGUGGGUAGCAAACAGGAUUAGAUACCCUGGUAGUCCACGCUGUAAACGAUGAUUACUAGGUGUUGGGGGUCGAACCUCAGCGCCCAAGCAAACGCGAUAAGUAAUCCGCCUGGGGAGUACGUACGCAAGUAUGAAACUCAAAGGAAUUGACGGGGACCCGCACAAGCGGUGGAGCAUGUGGUUUAAUUCGACGCAA
RNAcentral lists this ribosomal RNA (910 nucleotides) under uncultured bacterium. Its description in RNAcentral is "bacterial SSU rRNA". It matches the Rfam family "Bacterial small subunit ribosomal RNA", at positions 33 to 959 of the family's 1533-position model. The record is from RNAcentral.